This 1218-nucleotide long non-coding RNA is filed under the name Callithrix jacchus (white-tufted-ear marmoset). RNAcentral's name for it is "lncRNA (ENSCJAG00000076680.1)". Lineage: Eukaryota; Metazoa; Chordata; Mammalia; Primates; Cebidae. The record is from RNAcentral.
AUACAGAGUUGGGUAAUACACUCUACGGUGGAGGCCGCGGGACUCUCACGUACUGCUGGUGAGAGUGUAAAUCGGCACAACCCCUGCAGAGAGAAACUGAGUGACAGUUACAAAACUACAAAUCCACAUGCCCUCUGACCAGUCAUUCAUCUCCUGGGAAUUUGUGCUGCCGAGCCACUUUUAAGAUGACAUGCGUCUGAGAUAAUUCAUGGCAGCUUUGCUGGUAAUGGCAAACACUUGGAAAGAAACCGAGAUGUACAUCAAGAAAGCAUGAGUUAAAUAAAGCACGGUAGAUCCAAACAACUACUAUGUGGCUAUAAAAAGGAAUGAGGACGUGCUCUGUGUACUGAUGGGGACAGAAGUUUCAGGACAUUUUGUAAGGUGACUGAAAAACAAGACAGAUGCUUCCAGAGUCAAUCACUGAGCAGUGGAUCUACGACAAACCAUCCCUUCUCUUCGGUCACUGAGCUGAGUAAACAGGUACAUUUGGUGCCAGGACUAGAAGGUCAACAAACUCCUGCUUUGUCAGAGGGACCUGGGACUCAAGUCAAGAGGACUUCGCGGAAAUGCCGUACUUCCCGCUCCACAGGUGUUUGAGCCUAAGGAUAAGGAGUAAAAGUGUCUCAGGGAAACUUGCCAAGAAGAUAUGCAGCAGACACCUGAUGCGAGGGUAAGGCCUGGAGCCCCCUGAAAAGUGAGGUUGAUCUCAGCCCUGGUUUGUGUAUUGAUGAUGGCAACUUCCCCUGGAAGGGCUACCACAGAUCCCCAAACUCACCUAUAGCAGGAUACUUUGAAGAUGACCCCAAGAUUCCUAGGCCUUGGUGUUCAAGCCCUGUGUAACUCUCCCAUGCUCAAGGGUGGGUAGGACCUAUGAACACGAUGGAAUUCCUCUCCUGAGAUUACAGGGCAAAGGGGAAGGGAUUUCACACAUGUCAGUAAAGUCCCUGAUCAGCUGCCUUUGUUUUGGGAAACUAUCCCAUAUCCACCUGACUUCAUCAGUUGACUUUAAGUUAAUCAAAAUGGGGACUAUCCUGGGAUAGUCCUCUCAUCAUGUGAGCCUUUGAAAGAAUGUCUAGAAGUCAGACACGGAGAAAGUUGGAAAGAUUUGAGGCAGCAGAGACAUUCUCCCAUCGGCCCUGAAGAAGCAAACUGCCAUGUUAUGAAGAAGGCUGUGUGGCCAGGGAGUGGUCUCUCAGAGCUGAGGCCCUCAGCCCUACA